RNAcentral lists this ribosomal RNA (253 nucleotides) under uncultured bacterium. Its description in RNAcentral is "partial 16S ribosomal RNA". It matches the Rfam family "Bacterial small subunit ribosomal RNA", at positions 524 to 776 of the family's 1533-position model. The record is from RNAcentral.
UACGUAGGGCGCAAGCGUUGUCCGGAAUUAUUGGGCGUAAAGGGCGCGUAGGCGGCUUUGCGUGUCUUUCGUGAAAUCCCUCGGCUCAACUGAGGACGUGCGGAAGAAACUGCAGGGCUGGAGUCCGGGAGAGGAGGGUGGAAUUCCCAGUGUAGCGGUGAAAUGCGUAGAUAUUGGGAGGAACACCGGUGGCGAAGGCGGCCCUCUGGACCGGUACUGACGCUGAUGCGCGAAAGCGUGGGGAGCAAACGGG